RNAcentral lists this unclassified non-coding RNA (698 nucleotides) under Hevea brasiliensis (rubber tree). The record is from RNAcentral. Lineage: Eukaryota; Viridiplantae; Streptophyta; Magnoliopsida; Malpighiales; Euphorbiaceae.
UAGGUUUUUUUUUUUUUUUCAGCAGAAAAGUUAAUGCUAGACAAGUUUGAAAUUUUUAACAGAGGCCUAAUGUGGACUUGCAUGAUUAUGUCAUGAGUUCUUGGAUUGUGAAUUUACAGUGGAACUAAAGGCUUAGGUUCUCAGUUUUUGAAUGAUAAGAAGAAAUCAAGGAUCUUAGCAUAUGUCAAGAUGAAAUAGUAGAGGCUAGCCUUGGGCCCUCUAUUAAGGUUUUUCCUUUUUCACCAGUGGGUCGUGGAUUCAAAUCAUGGAAACAACAAGCUGGGAGAAGAUUGUGUAUGCAAUAGACACCUCUCUUCCAACCCUUUCAAGUCAAGGACCCUUGUUCAUAAAGAUGCCCUUUAUAAAUGUACAUAAAGUAUGGAUAAAUUAAGAGAAAUAAAGAUUGAACUAAAAGAGAAAUUGGAAGAGAUGAUAGAAUUCAUAGUAAAGUUUCGAAAUUCAAAUGAGACUUUAGGAAGUAUUAAUUUUUCAAUCACUAAAAAAGAAUGGAUAAGCUAUGCAUUUACACAAUUCAUCUAACUGUAGUAUGAUUUUCAAAUUUGAAGAUGUUAGGCUUUGUGAAUGAGAAUCAAUGUUGAGAAACCUAAUGCUUAGCAAUAGUCCUUUUUGCCUUGGCCUUUCCUUUUUGUCUUGAUGUUACAGGAUUGCUAGAUAACUUUGCAGGUUUAGAAGAAUCA